AACGCGAAGAACCUUACCUGGGCUUGAACUGCUAUGGACCGGUGCAGAGAUGCGCCUUUCCGCAAGGACUGUAGCAGAGGUGCUGCAUGGCUGUCGUCAGCUCGUGUCGUGAGAUGUUGGGUUAAGUCCCGCAACGAGCGCAACCCUUACCUCUAGUUGCCAGCGGUCCGGCCGGGAACUCUAGAGGGACUGCCCGGGUUAACCGGGAGGAAGGUGGGGAUGAUGUCAAGUCCUCAUGGCCCUUAUGUCCAGGGCUACACACGUGCUACAAUGGGCGAUACAAACCGUUGCAAAGUCGCGAGAUGGAGCUAAUCGGAGAAAAGUCGUCCUCAGUUCGGAUUGCAGUCUGCAACUCGACUGCAUGAAGGUGGAAUCGCUAGUAAUCGUGUAUCAGAAUGAUACGGUGAAUACGUUCCCGGGCCUUGUACACACCGAUACUC
RNAcentral lists this ribosomal RNA (440 nucleotides) under uncultured bacterium. RNAcentral describes it as "bacterial SSU rRNA". It matches the Rfam family "Bacterial small subunit ribosomal RNA", at positions 958 to 1398 of the family's 1533-position model. The record is from RNAcentral.